UAGAUGCGAGAGUAGAGCAUAUCAAUAAGCGGAGGAAAAGUCAGUACUACCUACGCUUAGGAUGUUGACGAGACUGUCGAUCUCAUCUAUACAUGACUCUGUGCAUAUCAAUAAGCGGAGGAAAAGGAGUAUACCUACGCUUAGGAUGUUGACGAGACUGUCGAUCUCAUCUAUACAUGACUCUGUGCAUAUCAAUAAGCGGAGGAAAAGGAGUAUACCUACGCUUAGGAUGUUGACGAGACUGUCGAUCUCAUCUAUACAUGACUCUGUGCAUAUCAAUAAGCGGAGGAAAAGAAACUAACAAGGAUUCCCUUAGUAACGGCGAGUGAAGCGGGAAGAGCUCAAAUUUGAAAUCUUCAAGGUCCUACCUUGACGAAUUGUAGUUUAUAGAAGUGUUUUCUGUUAGUAGGAGUGGCAAAAGUUCUUUGGAAUAGGACAUCAUAGAGGGUGAGAAUCCCGUAUUUGGUCAUUCUUUCUAGCUUUGUGAUACACUUUCAACGAGUCGGAUUGUUUGGGAAUGCAGUCCAAAAUGGGUGGUAAAUUUCAUCUAAAGCUAAAUAUUGGCGAGAGACCGACAGCGAACAAGUACCGUGAGGGAAAGAUGAAAAGAACUUUGAAAAGAGAGUUAAACAGUACGUGAAAUUGUCAAAAGGGAAGCGUUUGACACCAGUGUUGUUUUUCCGAAAAUCAAUUACGAAUGUUUUAUUUUUGAGGAGUUAUGACUUCAUCGGCUUGCUCCUUUCUUUAUGAAACUUUCUUAAUGCACUUUUCGGUUAACAAGUCAACAUCAAUUUCUUUUGUUGUAAAAGGGUCAUUGGAAGGUGGCUUUCUUUUCGGAGAAAGUGUUUAUAGCCUUUGACUUCUGCAAUCGGAGAGAUUGAGGUCUGCAGCGUAGAUCCUUCGAGGUUAGAUGCAUUUGUGCUAAGCUAUAGCCUUUCAUAGACAACUUGUUGACUAUGAUCAGUCAUGUAGCUUACUCGCUUAUGUCAUUUUACCUACGCUUAGGAUGUUGACGAGACUGUCGAUCUCG
Molecule: ribosomal RNA, 1030 nt
Filed under: uncultured Neocallimastigales
Lineage: Eukaryota; Fungi; Neocallimastigomycota; Neocallimastigomycetes; Neocallimastigales
Description: partial large subunit ribosomal RNA
Rfam family: Eukaryotic large subunit ribosomal RNA (bases 246-1030)
Source: RNAcentral